Molecule: long non-coding RNA, 3305 nt
Organism: Bombus pascuorum
Lineage: Eukaryota; Metazoa; Arthropoda; Insecta; Hymenoptera; Apidae
Exons: 2
Source: RefSeq, a predicted model, not a curated record
GUGGGGACUCGGAGAUGGUCGACAGAUGUGGCGAGUAUCGUGACAGCGGCGAAUGGAGCGGUCUACGCGAAUAACUUCAUGAAAUUCUGGUUGCUAGGCAACGUGGAUGCUUCUCUGGCAGUUUUUCUUUGAUAAGUCAAAUACGAAGAAAGUAUGCUAAGCUGGUAAAAAUAAUUUUUAUCGUAAGGAAGGUUGACUAAAAAAUAACAAAUCGUCGUUUGGACAGUUACAUAAUGUUUAAGAAGACUCAGCAAUUUUUGUGUCGCGUAAUUGCUUCGAACCUGACCUGAUAAGCUUCCCAUUGCAUGGUCUCAAUACCAGAAGCUUCUUCUCGCGAUGCAUUACAUUGCAGGGAUGGAAAGCGUAUCGUGAACACUUGUUACGCGCAUUGCCUCUGAAUUUGGCUUCGGCCAUGGCCACGACUGAUUGACAGAUUUCGAUUCAUGAAUCAGUUGUACGCAUUUGAACAGUUACACGAUGACAAACAAGUAGUAAUUGAGCGCACAUAUGGUUCUACUGACCAAUAUUAAUCACGAAAGGCGAUUGAAACUUCUCGUCAGGUUUUUCACUUGUCAUUCCUCUACAAAUUUUGAGCUAUUGUCUUUGGUAUUACAUAUUUUAUUUAGAUAAAUAAUUUUUCAAUUAUAUUUUCUGAUUAUUUUUACAUUUAUCUAAAUAAUUUUCUAUUUAAAAAAUAUGCUGUACGUGAGAUAUUGAUUUAAAUUGUUUAAUAUUGUCUUUGUUGCAUUAAUUUUGUAAGUUGCUCAAAAAAUUCAAGAGGGAAAAAAUCUCUCUUAAUUAUUGUUUUAUAACUAAAAAUUCUAUUUACUAAUCCCCGGUAUAUAGCAUUAAUCGUUACUUAUAAUGAUUUUCCAUUUAUGUAAGAAAAAUAAUUUUAUUCUUUGCACAUCAUUAACAUAUGUUUAUAUUAAACCUUUCAGUGCUAUAAAAAAGAUAACGUAAUUGCGGAUUUUACUAGAGGAUUUUUUGGCAAUGCAACGAGUGCGACGGAGUUUUAUCACGUGGAAACUACACGUCCAGACACUUGGCUAUUUUUAAAAGCUAAUAUUCUCGAUGAGCCCGCUAUUGCUCCUGAUCCUUUUGAUUUACUCCAAUCCGCGAACUAAUCAAUUAAUCGCCAUAUCGCGUUUUACCAAUAACUUUGAGAUUUGACGGAUCGUCUGUCGUAUUUAUCGUUUGCCAAAAUUCCGAAUAACAUUCUAACAGAGUUUUCUAAUUGCAGAGUAUCGUGUGCGUACAAUUUCACGUCUGCUGCACCAGCAUGUUCCGAUCUAUGGAAUUUUCUUUUCAUUUUCCAUUGGCUGACUCAAAGGAAAAUUGGGAAAUGCGCUUGCUAUUUUGGUUAGCUCCUUUAUUGCUCCUCGCGCAUUCACGUAACUAACCACCAGAGAAGCCUCCGCGACGACGAACGUCACUCCGCGACCAAGAAUAAUGGUCUGCGAAGGAAAAGCGAGGAAAGAAAGCGAAGAAAGGAACCGCUUCGUGGAACGCUAUUUUCGCUUGGAUUAGAUGGACGAUCGGGUCAAACGGGACGAACAAGUGCAAUAAUCAAACUCGAAGUGUAUGUUUGCCAGAGGAUGAUAUAAAAUAACUGAUAUUCCGAGAAGUCCUUUGUUCGAAAAAGAAAAAUCUCUUUAAUCGUAGUGUAAAAAACGAUGAACUAAACAAAGCGCCCAAUGAGAAAUAGUAUACGUAUACUUGUAAGACAUGAUAACGAGAAAUUGUGUCUGUCAUGUCAUUUUAUUUAGACGUAAAAGAAGAAAAAUUGAUACAAUGAAGAACACAUGUUGCGAAGAGGAACUAAAGACGGCGAUGAAACUCAAAUGUAAACAGCGUGUUCGCUAAGAUAGAGUGGAAAAGAGAAAAAUUCAAAAUUUGUAAAAAAGAAAACUGUAUCGCGAUGAAAUGCAAAGAAUAUCUCUGGCAGCAAAACAAAUUACCAAAAAAUCAAUCGAGGCAUUUUUUGCAUGAAAAUAAAGAAAUACAGUAUACAGGGUAUCUUAGGAGGGCUAAGAGGAAAGGAAACUAAUUGGAUGAAGAAAAAGCUUACCGUGGAGCACCGGUCAUCAAUGAACUGUGAUUAGAGAAAGGUCCCCCAUAGUAAUAGGACAAACUGUCUCCGUAGUAGGGCAUCGUGGCGAUGAUUAUCCAAUAGAUUUACGCGUACAGUUGUCGAAGGGCUGGAAUUCGAAGAGGAAAUCGCGAACAGCGAGCACGAGCGGUUCGACGCUCUCGAAGACGACUGAGUGCGGCACGAAUCGCCGGCGAACGCGUUCUCAGGUGUUCGACGAGCCGUUCUCACGGUUCAGGGAGCCAACACCGACUGAGUCUAAGCCAGCGACCCAGUGUAAUAAUAGAAGUCUAGUAUAUGUGGCUUCCUAGCGUCUAACUAUACUAGCUGGACUGUAAUAACCCGUACAACGUCUCAUUGCUUUUCUACAAAUAUUUUCCGUAUUGUAGCGUUUACGUGACUCAUUGUCAGGACUAGAAUUGAAUCAUACGAACCUAUUGUCAAACCUGAUGUAACAAGCUUUUUCUCACGCGUUCCUAUGGUGUUACCGUUGGUGAACACCGCGAAGCAUUUUACUAACGUAAAGAGACACGAAAAUGGUAAAAAAGGCCGAUUAUUAUUUUUUUAUAAUCGAACACGAUAAUACGAAUUUUUUUAAUUUUAACAACGAACGUUUCCGUUUCAGAAAAUUGACAAGGACUCGACAUAACAUCAGGAAAUGUUGACAGAAAUUUUGGUAAAACGUAUAUUGGUUAAAAUCACUCCUCACUAUCAUGCUGUUAAAAACACAACAACAACAUUGAUGAAAGUCGUGAAGAAUACCGAAAGACGCGCAAUCAUGCAUCGUGAGACUCGCGGUAUAACAUGCACAUCAAAUUGCCAGGCGACGAAUUUCGUGUCGUUGUCUCUGCAGCCGUAUAAAACGCGCAUUAAUGUGUCAGCGGAGCCACGGUUUCGCGUUGUUUUGUAUUCGACCAUCGAGACCCGCGCCAAAUGUUUCUUUCCUGGGUGCCUAUUGUUACUUGUUCAGGGAAACUUAGAAAUAGCCAACGAAUGGCAACGAAUUCUAUUUCAAGUGAAUUCUACAACUAACUUUAGUUUCAAAAUUUACUUUAAAAGUUAAAUUUUACAGAACUUGUGAUACAAAUUUAAAUUGCUAUCAUGGUGAAACUUAAACUUAAGGUGCAUCAAGGUGAAAAGGAUAUACAUAUAUACAAGAUGAUUGUUUUCAUGAAAAUUCUUUGGCUUAAAUCUUACUUACCGUCGCACCUGA